GGGACACUCACAGAAGAAUAUUGAGAGAGAGAGAGACAGAAAGAUAUAUUAUUAGGGCAUGUGUGUGUUUCUACUCAUUUCCAUUUCCUUGCUUCUUAUUUAACCCUAUCAUCUCUCUCUUUCCCCAUUCCUCAACCUUUCUUUUUCUUUUCUCUCUCUUUUCCUUCCCCUUUUCUUCCUUUUCUCUUCCUCGGGAUCUGAUCUCUUUCUUCUCUUCUCCCCUACACAAUAAGACAUUCAUCCCCUGGGAUUGCAAACACUUGGCCUUCACUUCAAUUCCCCAGGAACGCUUUCUUGUUUCUUUGUUUUUUUCUGUUCCCUUCCUUUCUUUCUGUGUUCUUUUCUUUUUGUCUGGUUCAGUGCUCUUGUACAAAAGGUGAAUGAGAGCGAGUGAUAAAGCUCUAGCUUAAAGUCUGUUACCUUUAAGCUGAUUGGCGACUUCAUUAUUCCAUCAACCAGGGUGAAUCAGAUCUAAGCAGGAGUUUUCACUCGAGCCUAGGGUCUGCUGCUCUACAAGAUUAUCACGGUUUCUUUUGUUCUUGGAAGAGUAUGAAUACCUUUCCCCAUGUUCCCCCAGGCUUCAGAUUCCAUCCGACGGAUGAGGAACUUGUUGAUUACUAUCUCAGAAAAAAAGUUGCUUCAAAAAGGAUUGAUCUGGAUGUCAUCAAGGAUGUUGAUCUUUAUAAAAUUGAGCCAUGGGAUCUUCAAGAAUUGUGCAGAAUAGGAACUGAAGAGCAGAAUGAAUGGUAUUUCUUUAGCCACAAGGAUAAGAAAUAUCCUACCGGAACUCGCACUAAUAGAGCAACAAAAGCUGGGUUCUGGAAAGCUACAGGAAGAGACAAGGCUAUAUAUUCUAGACAUAGCUUGAUUGGCAUGAGAAAAACCCUAGUGUUUUAUAAAGGAAGAGCUCCAAAUGGACAAAAGUCAGAUUGGAUCAUGCAUGAAUAUCGACUAGAAACUAAUGAAAAUGGAACUCCGCAGGAAGAAGGAUGGGUUGUAUGCAGGGUGUUCAAGAAGCGAAUGCCAACAAUGAGGAAAGUUGGAGAGUAUGACUCGCCUUGUUGGUACGAUGACCAGGUCUCCUUCAUGCCAGAACUUGAUUCGCCAAGGCGAAUUACUCAAACUUACGCAUCAUACCUGCACCAUUAUCCCUGCAAGCAAGAGUUUGAGUUGCAAUAUAAUAUGCCUCAUGACCCAUUCCUCCAGCUUCCUCAACUAGAAAGCCCCAAAGUUCCACAGUCAGCUGCAAGUGCCAAUUGCAACUCAGUAGUUCCUUAUGUUGUUUAUGAUAGGAACAAUGGAAGCACCUUGCAGUCCUCAACUCUUACACAAGAAGAACAAGUGCAACAACAUCAUCAAAAUUUGAACUCACUUUACCAUAACAAUGGUGAGCAAGCUGUGGAUCAAGUGACCGACUGGCGAGUCCUUGACAAAUUUGUUGCAUCUCAGCUCAGCCACGAUGAUGCUUCCAAGGAAGCCAACUACUCCAAUGCCGCGGCCUUUCAUGUGGCUGAACAGAUGAAUAUUCUUGCCAAUGAAUCCAAAAGGCCAGAAAUGGUGCAGGAAUACGCCUCAACGUCAACAUCUAGUUGCCAAAUUGAUCUAUGGAAGUGAUCGAAAACAUAUAUAUUACAUAUAGUUAAUUACUUGAGGAUGCAUACUAAUUAAUUAUAGGUACUACAGUUUAUAUGAAAAGGAGUCUUGAUGAUCCAAGUGGCUGUACAUAAUAAAACUAAAAUGGUAUUGCUUUAGCUAUUGGACUUAUUGUGUCCAUCGAUCAUAAUAUUUGAUGAGUACUAUAGGCUAUUAAAUAGAGUACAAAUGCCAACUGCAAAUAAGUUAGUGCUCUGUAUGGCUGAGCUUUGUGAGGACUAACUCAGCUGUUGAAUGUUGAAUGUAUCCUUGCCUUCAAUUUACAUGUGAAGGUUUUUUUGUUUUUAAAUAUAUAUCAUAUUACAACCUUUUCUUUUUUUUUUUUUU
RNAcentral lists this unclassified non-coding RNA (1980 nucleotides) under Hevea brasiliensis (rubber tree). Lineage: Eukaryota; Viridiplantae; Streptophyta; Magnoliopsida; Malpighiales; Euphorbiaceae. The record is from RNAcentral.